GACGAACGCUGGCGGCGUGCUUAACACAUGCAAGUCGAACGGUGAAGCGCCUUCCUUUUUGGUGGGUGUGGAUGAGUGGCGAACGGGUGAGUAACACGUUAGUAACCUGCCCCCUUCUUCUGGAUAACCGCAUGAAAGUGUGGCUAAUACGGGAUAUUCUGGGUCUGUCGCAUGAUGGGUCUGGGAAAGAUAUUGUUUCGGUGGGGGAUGGGCUCGCGGCCUAUCAGCUUGUUGGUGGGGUGAUGGCCUACCAAGGCGGUGACGGGUAGCCGGCCUGAGAGGGUGGACGGUCACACUGGGACGGCGACACGGCCCAGACUCCUACGGGCGGCAGCAGUGGGGAAUAUUGCACAAUGGGCGCAAGCCUGAUGCAGCGACGCCGCGUGAGGGAUGGAGGCCUUCGGGUUGUGAACCUCUUUCGCCAGUGAAGCAGGCCUGCCUCGUUUGUGGGUGGGUUGACGGUAGCUGGAUAAGAAGCGCCGGCUAACUACGUG
RNAcentral lists this ribosomal RNA (494 nucleotides) under uncultured bacterium. Its description in RNAcentral is "partial 16S ribosomal RNA". It matches the Rfam family "Bacterial small subunit ribosomal RNA", at positions 28 to 507 of the family's 1533-position model. The record is from RNAcentral.